Long non-coding RNA from Phalaenopsis equestris, 608 nucleotides. RefSeq lists it as uncharacterized. NCBI's taxonomy places the organism in Eukaryota, Viridiplantae, Streptophyta, Magnoliopsida, Asparagales, Orchidaceae. The record is from RefSeq and is a predicted model, not a curated record. The transcript is spliced from 3 exons.
AUGCAGAGCUGAUGAUCAAAGGUCUUAAUAAAGUCCCUUGGGAAAGGGUGGAUGUCAGUUUUCGAAAAAGUAAACAACGCGUUUUCGCUCAUAGUACUAUUCAGGUGAAGUCCAAGCUUUUAAACUCUGAUGGUGCUGAUGUAAUUUUUCACAUGAUCGAUAAUUUUCUUCUGUAAAUUUGAGCGCACACAAAAAAUUUAAGAUGAUGGUUUCUGUGGUUCAAGUUUUCUGGUUCCAUCAGUAGCUUUAAUUACGGGAAUGGCCCGGGCUCAUGGAGUGGCGAGGCUACGUAGAAGGGGCAUUCUGUUCAUUCCAGGAGGAGCUCUCUCUCUCUGAUGCCUUUCUGCCAUGGAAGCAGAGAAGAGAAAGGAAUCCCUCUGGCUUUUUCUUCUGCUUGAAGAAGCUGCUUAAUUUCCUGCCAUUGUCCAUUUGCUGCUUGGCAUUCCUCAAUAUAUAGAGGUUUUUUAUUUAUUUCUGCCAUCUUUUUGUCAAACCUAUGCUUUUCAAUAUGUUAUGAAUGUAAUUUUCAUUUUAUUGCGCUUGUAUCAUGUUUUUUGUGUUGAAACGUAUCAUGUAAACUUGGUGGUUGAAUGUAUAUUAUUUUAUUU